Molecule: long non-coding RNA, 1782 nt
Organism: Hyla sarda
Lineage: Eukaryota; Metazoa; Chordata; Amphibia; Anura; Hylidae
Exons: 4
Source: RefSeq, a predicted model, not a curated record
AUUGCUCCUGUUCUGUACACCUGCCAGGACCUGCAGCCUACAAUACAAGUCUUUUAGUGCACAGGACUGGGAGCCGGGAUCUGGUGCUGCACUCGCUCCUUCUUGGGGAGCUGAAACAACAUGGUGGAGCACAACGGAUCACAAAUCCCCCCUUACCCCAUCCUGCAAUCACCCUGCUGUGAUGCUAUCUAGUCCCCCACUACUUUACCUACUUCCUACUUAAGGGAAACACUCUUCCCCCUAGUGUCGAGGCUCAGACAAUCAGAUUCAAGAAGAGCUUGUCUCAGAAUUAGGUAGAUAGAGCUGAUGGAGACCAGAUGACAGGGAGUCAGGUACAUAAAUAUAUGAGGAAGAGAGCGCAUGCUCUUGAAACGCGUAUGACAAGGGAGGGUGUCGGUUUUACCGUGGAAAGUUUGUUUGUCGGAUUCGGACCAAAAUAAAGCUGCAACUUUUUAUCCAAGUGCUGGAUCAGUUUCUACUUUCUUCGUUUACAUAAAUAUAUGUUUUGUUUUACUUUCAUGUCACCCCUAACAAUAUAUAAAGUUUUUUUAGCAUCUGGAUAACCCCUUAAAGGGGUAUUCCGGGAUUUUUUUUUUUAUUUGACUAUGCUACAGGGGCUGUAAAGUUAGUGUAGUUCAUAAUAUAUAGGUUUUCUUAUUUGAUUUAUUUUUAAACAGCAUACAAAAUGACUGUUGUCUCAGAUUUUUCCCAGGUUGCAAUCACUAGUCAGCUGAUGACAGGGAGCCUGUCUGCUUCAAUGGCUUGAGCAAUCGCUUGGUGGGAGUGAGCUCAAUCUGCAACUAAUGCAACAGCUGUAGGCACCCUGAUUGAAAACACAGGUCUUUUGAAUGGAUGCAGCUCAUUUAUGUUUUAAUGGGUCGGGUGGCUGAUGUGUGGGAGGGAGGAAAAUGGAAUUAUAGGAUUUGUAGGCAAAGAAGAAAACUCAAACAGGAAAUACCAGUUCACAAAAAGCUAGCCACAGUGUUAUGGUAAUCUCACAACAUAGCCAUUUAGCCCCAAGACAAGCGCAGAUCCUUCCUAAGCAUGUCCAUUACUGUCUGGCAGGUACGUACUAAAAUCACCUUAUGGUGGAUAACCCCUUUAAUUCUUUUAGAAUGCUGUGCAUUUUCAUUUCUUGUGCUUCUCCUUUUAUUUUCUAUAUUAAAUCUCCAUAUUCUGAGCCCUAUAACCAUACCUCCCAACCAUCCCAGAUCCGGAAGGACAUUCCCGCUAUUGGCCCCCACAUGUCCCGCAUUUAACUGUAAAUGCCUCUUAAUGAGGCGUCUGUAGUUAAAUGCGGUGCUCGGUGGAAGGUUUGACAGAGCCAUUGGCUCCUCACCCUGUCAAUCACUCUUGUGCUCGCUGGCUCAAGUUAGCCAGAGAACACAAGAGGCCAGGCUGAGCUCUUCCUGCUUCUGCGAACGAGUGACUUCAUCAGAUGCCGGAGCACAGAGGAAGAGAAAGGAAGAGCCCAUGCUAAGGAAGCCCCCGCCGCCGGAGCCGCUGGGAAGAGGGUAAAAGAGCCGCAGAAGGCAACUGGAUAUUCAUACGCUGCAGAGGAGGAAAGGGAUGAAGAAUAUAAUCCUGAAGAAUCUUCUGAUGAGGAAGAUUAUAGUAUUCAACAGGAGACGGAAAGUGACAGUGAGGAGGAAACAGCUGCAACAAUACAUGAAAUAACGCCGAAACGAAAAGCUCUUCUGGAAAGACUAAGAAAAAAGGCAGAACUACAUGGCGAGCUACAUGAGCACUCUUUCCAAAACGAUCCAGAGUGGCCAAGCAUCA